UACAGAGGGUGCAAGCGUUAAUCGGACUUACUGGGCGUAAAGGGUGCGUAGGUGGAGAUAUAAGUCGUGUGUGAAAUCCCCGGGCUUAACCUGGGACUGGCAUGCGAAACUGGAUUUCUAGAGUACAGUAGAGGGAAGUGGAAUUUCCGGUGUAGCGGUGAAAUGCGUAGAUAUCGGAAGGAACACCAGUGGCGAAGGCGACUUUCUGGACUGAUACUGACACUGAGGCACGAAAGCGUGGGGAGCAAACAGG
This 253-nucleotide ribosomal RNA is filed under the name uncultured bacterium. RNAcentral's name for it is "partial 16S ribosomal RNA". It matches the Rfam family "Bacterial small subunit ribosomal RNA", at positions 524 to 776 of the family's 1533-position model. The record is from RNAcentral.